Molecule: ribosomal RNA, 492 nt
Filed under: uncultured bacterium
Lineage: Bacteria
Description: partial 16S ribosomal RNA
Rfam family: Bacterial small subunit ribosomal RNA
Source: RNAcentral
AGUGAACGCUGGCGGUAGGCCUAACACAUGCAAGUCGAACGGCAGCACAGUAAGAGCUUGCUCUUACGGGUGGCGAGUGGCGGACGGGUGAGGAAUACAUCGGAAUCUACUUUUUCGUGGGGGAUAACGUAGGGAAACUUACGCUAAUACCGCAUACGACCUACGGGUGAAAGCAGGGGAUCUUCGGACCUUGCGCGAUUGAAUGAGCCGAUGUCGGAUUAGCUAGUUGGCGGGGUAAAGGCCCACCAAGGCGACGAUCCGUAGCUGGUCUGAGAGGAUGAUCAGCCACACUGGAACUGAGACACGGUACAGACUCCUACGGGAGGCAGCAGUGGGGAAUAUUGGAAAAUGGGCGCAAGCCUGAUCCAGCCAUACCGCGUGGGUGAAGAAGGCCUUCGGGUUGUAAAGCCCUUUUUUUGGGAAAGAAAAGCAGCAGGUUAAUAACCCGCUGUUCUGACGGUACCCAAAGAAUAAGCCCCGGCUAACUUCGUG